GCACCAGUGGUUUAGUGGUAAAAUCCAUCGUUGCCAUCGAUGGGCCCCGUGUUCGAUUCACGGCUGGUGCA
This 71-nucleotide transfer RNA is filed under the name Blumeria graminis f. sp. tritici. It matches the Rfam family "tRNA". From Rfam's summary of the family: Transfer RNA (tRNA) molecules are approximately 80 nucleotides in length. Their secondary structure includes four short double-helical elements and three loops (D, anti-codon, and T loops). The record is from Rfam by way of RNAcentral. RNAcentral also lists the same sequence under 5 other names. Lineage: Eukaryota; Fungi; Ascomycota; Leotiomycetes; Helotiales; Erysiphaceae.